AAAGCUCAAAUUUAAAAUCUGGUAGUCUCUGGCUGCCCGAGUUGUAAUCUAGAGAAGUGUUAUCCGCGCUGGACCGUGUACAAGUCUCCUGGAAUGGAGCGUCAUAGAGGGUGAGAAUCCCGUCUUUGACACGGACUACCAGGGCUUUGUGAUAUGCUCUCAAAGAGUCGAGUUGUUUGGGAAUGCAGCUCUAAAUGGGUGGUAAAUUCCAUCUAAAGCUAAAUAUUGGCGAGAGACCGAUAGCGAA
RNAcentral lists this ribosomal RNA (247 nucleotides) under Entoloma sp. 9 CRJH-2017. RNAcentral's name for it is "partial 28S ribosomal RNA". It matches the Rfam family "Eukaryotic large subunit ribosomal RNA", at positions 104 to 344 of the family's 3401-position model. Lineage: Eukaryota; Fungi; Basidiomycota; Agaricomycetes; Agaricales; Entolomataceae. The record is from RNAcentral.